ACGGCGGCAAAUUCAAAGUCUACGGGGAUUUAACAUGGUAAACUCGUCCAUUAACGUCUAGGUUACGGGGCCGGGAACCAGUUUUUGAAGGGAGUAGUCGUCCUUUGCAAAAUAAAUUUCCGAAAAAUCUUUAAAAAUUAAAGGAAUUAAUUUAAAUUGCUUUCAUUAAUAAUACAAUUUUCACUUUGAAUUAAAAUUAAUUUUAACAGCAAUUAACAAGUUUAAUUAUUAACUUCGAGAAAAUAGUCCGAAUCUAACGAAGUACAACUUGUGGAGAAUGGAUGUUGACAUGAUGAUGCAAGCUCGCCAGUGUUUAAAACCAGUAUGAAGCUUGAUUUAGACACUGCAAUAUAAGAGAGAGGCAGACCAGAAACCUUUGGCUAAAGCAAAGAUAAUAUGCAUAACAUAAGUAGUUACGUAAUUCACAAGAGUGCAAAGUUAUGAUGACCAUACAGAGACAAGAUACCACAACAAAGACAUGCAUGAAGAAGGAUGUUCACUCAAUUUUUCAGAAUAAUGUGUCAGAUUGAAAGUCAUCUUAUGUUGGACAAAACAAUCAGGAUGUUCAUCUGGAUCACAGCUAGCACAAAUUAAAGUAUUGACAAAACCAAAGAUUACCUGGUAGUCUGCAAAUGGAGUGAUCAUUGGAUGAGCCAAACAACACCAUUUUCCUCAGAAAUUUUAGGAUAGAGACUAGUCACUUGAUCUCCAUCUUCAUUCAUAGAUGACUGAUGUUGACAUUUUCUCACUUCUGUUUCAUGUCUUAACUACAACUUGGACUCAACACUUCAGCAUCAGUGGGCGCUUGACUUUUAUAAACAUUUAUUCCUCUGAAAUUCAUAUAAUAUCCUUUAAUAUAGGACAUAUAUAACAAAUUAUUUAUCUUGUAAAAUAUUUUAUUAAAUUUUAAUUAAUAAAACAAUGAAAACAGUUCAAACAAACUGGUUUAUCCUAUAAUCUAAAACUGUUUUAUGUUUGAAGUAAUUUAUAAUUUUACUGUUAAGAUACUUAAGGAUCCUCAGACAGGAAGGAUAACUCUUUAAUUUACAAUUUAAUUCAUAGUCUCAAAAUGAAGCUUGAAAUUUCAAUCUUUUCGUGCAACAAUUUUCAUUUUAUCAUGAUAAUAUUUAUAACUUCUCAAUGUCCUUUAAGGUUGUUUGAAGUUCUCAGAAAGGUCUUAUAAAAAGUCCCAAUUUUUAGUUUUAACUUAUUAAGUAAAACUAGGAUAAAUAGCAAAGUCAAAAUUUGUUUUAUCCAUAUAAGGAAUUCCUUAUAUUUCCAUAGCUGGGGAUCCAAGAAAACUUCACUAUAUCCGUGAACUUGCAAUAUCCAUGUUCGUUCUAAACAUUCAAGUUUUACUGACACAGUAAAAGUAUUUCAAAAUUACUUUGCCUAUUUUAUACAGUUAUAAUAAAAUAAUUCCAAAGUAUUUUACAAUUUUAAAAACAGUUUUCUCAAUAUUCUAGCACAAAUAAAUAAUUUUUAAAGAUUUAAGUCUGUAUUUAUUUCUUAAAUAUAAAUUUUAUUCUUAAUACAUACAAAUUAAACAGAAAUGAUUUGAAAUAAGAGGGCGAACUGGGACCGUCCCUUGACAAUAGGCCGAGACAGAGAUAGCUCGGCCCUGAGGACAAGACAGCCCUACUUCCCAUUUGCUGUCUCGCCUAGUCUAAACAGGGCUGAUACACUACUAGGUAUAUGAUAUAGGCGAAUUAGGAAUAUACAUGUUUGUGUAUUGGGAAAUUGUCAAUGAAUAAACAUACUUUGAAAAUUUACAAAAAAUUUUGUUGGGACUGAAAACCAAACUCAAGACAUCUGCAUUAU
Long non-coding RNA from Saccostrea cuccullata (small rock oyster), 1821 nucleotides. RefSeq lists it as uncharacterized. Lineage: Eukaryota; Metazoa; Mollusca; Bivalvia; Ostreida; Ostreidae. The record is from RefSeq and is a predicted model, not a curated record. The transcript is spliced from 4 exons.